Long non-coding RNA from Molossus molossus (Pallas's mastiff bat), 463 nucleotides. RefSeq lists it as uncharacterized. Lineage: Eukaryota; Metazoa; Chordata; Mammalia; Chiroptera; Molossidae. The transcript has 3 exons. The record is from RefSeq and is a predicted model, not a curated record.
CAAGAAUCAUGACUCCCUUGUUCAUGGUUGUAACUCCAGUGCUGAAGGACGCCUGGCAAGUGACAGAGCGCAAUGAAUAUUAGCCAUCGCUAAUGUCGACAGAGGGUUUGCUCUCUGCCAGGCACUGUUCUUUGACUUUACAGGAUGUAUCUCAGGCAAUCCUCACAACAAUCCAAUGAGACAACUGCAGGUCACACAAGUGUGCUCCUCCACGUUCCAGCAAGGGAGAACCACCAAAAUGUCCUCAACGAUCAAGCAAGUUACUCAAGCUCUCAGAGCCUCAGUGCUCUCAUCUGCAAUUGGUCAUAAUAGCACCUACUUCAAAGGGUGGAGGCGAAGAUUAUAGAGAAAGAAGCCAGCCACCCACUCCACCAUAAGCCAUUUUCAAACUAAAGAUCAAUUCUUUUUCGUUUGAAUGAGCACAACUCUCCCAGUGGGAUAACUACAGGUAAACCUUCCCCCU